CAGCCGCCUCGGUAAAACGAAGGGGGCUAGCGUUGUUCGGAAUUACUGGGCGUAAAGCGCACGUAGGCGGAUUUUUAAGUCAGGGGUGAAAUCCCGAGGCUCAACCUCGGAACUGCCUUUGAUUCUGGAGAUCUUGAGUUCGGAAGAGGUUGGUGGAACAGCUAGUGUAGAGGUGAAAUGCGUAGAUAUCGGAAGGAACACCUGUGGCGAAAGCGGCUCACUGGACCAUUACUGACGCUGAGGCGCGAAAGCUAGGGGAGCAAACAGGAUUAGAUACCCCGGUAGUCCCUGUCUCUUAUAC
Molecule: ribosomal RNA, 301 nt
Filed under: uncultured bacterium
Lineage: Bacteria
Description: partial 16S ribosomal RNA
Rfam family: Bacterial small subunit ribosomal RNA
Source: RNAcentral